This 465-nucleotide ribosomal RNA is filed under the name uncultured bacterium. RNAcentral describes it as "partial 16S ribosomal RNA". It matches the Rfam family "Bacterial small subunit ribosomal RNA", at positions 28 to 507 of the family's 1533-position model. The record is from RNAcentral.
GACGAACGCUGGCGGCGUGCUUAACACAUGCAAGUCGAACGGAAAGGCCCCUUUGGGGGUACUCGAGUGGCGAACGGGCGAGUAACACGCGAGUAAGCUGCCCUCGACUUCGGGAUAACUUCAGGAAACUGGGGCUAAUACCGGACAGGAAUCCUUGCUUCCUGGUGGGGGGUGGAAAGCAUCGGGGGGUUUGGAUGGACUCGCGGCCUAUCAGGCUGCUGGUGGGGGGGUGGGUUGCCAAGGCAUUGACGGGUAGGCGGCCGGGGAGGGCGGACGGCCACAAUGGGGCUGGGAAUCGGCCCAGACUCCUACGGGGGGCAGCAGUGGGGAAUAUUUCCCCAUGGGCCGGAGCCCGAUGCAGGAACGCCGCGUGCGGGAUGACCGCCUUUCGGUUGUAAACCGCUUUCAGCAGGGGCGGAGGUUGUGGUGACGGUACCUGCAGAAGAAGCACCGGCUAACUACGUG